UGAGAUGUCAGAGCCUGGGUGAGGAG
RNAcentral lists this non-coding RNA (26 nucleotides) under Homo sapiens (human). Lineage: Eukaryota; Metazoa; Chordata; Mammalia; Primates; Hominidae. The record is from RNAcentral.